RNAcentral lists this unclassified non-coding RNA (715 nucleotides) under Hevea brasiliensis (rubber tree). Lineage: Eukaryota; Viridiplantae; Streptophyta; Magnoliopsida; Malpighiales; Euphorbiaceae. The record is from RNAcentral.
GUCUAACCCAAGGUUCUCCCACAGCAGCUAAUGCAGCAGCAGCAGGCAUUGCGGAAGACACAUAAUCUCUUUUUUUGAUAAAUCGAGCAAAGAAAAACAAGCCUAAGAGUAUAAACCAAAAGAACAGCUCGGAAAUAUAACCUCUCACAGCAGCAAAUCCCAUUAUUCCAGCUGCUGUAAGAAGGUACGGUUGGCUGUUCACAGAAUCUGGAGCUGCCGCUUCACCAAUAGCAAGAACACAAGAGGCCAAAAUGAUGAUUGUUGUCAGCUCUUGUACUGGUGCAUAUGCAAUUACACUGGAGUAGAAAGCUCGAAUGGAAUAAAUUGAUGAUUCAAUAAAUCUAAUUACAGCUGUGAUCUGAUCCCCUAUGAAGUAGUAUACAACAGCGAAUGCAAGUUUCGAGAUGUAACCGAGAAAUCGGAAGACAGCAUCCACAGCCUUUUUCCAAUUACCCAGUUCCCAUAAGACAGUCCUCCAGGCAUAUAGAAGAAAGGCUAAUGCUAUGAACCAAGGCCAUCUAACAGGCUUAUCAGGAGCUUCUUUAGUCAAGUAUCUGAAUCUAUCAGGCAUUGUGCUCUCUCCACGAACAUCAAUUUCAGCUUUAUCAACACUAUUCCCAUAAUCUACUCCACUACUCUCAGCUUCCACAAUAAACCCAUUUUUCCUACGUAACUGAAAUCCACAAUCACUAGUGAAAAUUCCACAACAUUUGUG